This 480-nucleotide ribosomal RNA is filed under the name uncultured bacterium. RNAcentral's name for it is "partial 16S ribosomal RNA". It matches the Rfam family "Bacterial small subunit ribosomal RNA", at positions 356 to 829 of the family's 1533-position model. The record is from RNAcentral.
UGGGAAUAUUGCACAAUGGGCGCAAGCCUGAUGCAGCCAUGCCGCGUGUGUGAAGAAGGCCUUCGGGUUGUAAAGCACCUUCAGCGAGGAGGAAGGUGGUGGACUUAAUACGUUCAUCAAUUGACGUUACUCGCAGAAGAAGCACCGGCUAACUCCGUGCCAGCAGCCGCGGUAAUACGGAGGGUGCAAGUGUUAAUCGGAAUUACUGGGCGUAAAGCGCACGCAGGCGGUUUGUUAAGUCAGAUGUGAAGUCCCCGGGCUCAACCUGGGAACUGCAUUUGAAACUGGCAAGCUAGAGUCUCGUAGAGGGGGGUAGAAUUCCAGGUGUAGCGGUGAAAUGCGUAGAGAUCUGGAGGAAUACCGGUGGCGAAGGCGGCCCCCUGGACGAAGACUGACGCUCAGGUGCGAAAAGCGUGGGGAGCAAACAGAUUAGNUACCCUGGUAGUCACGCUGUAAACGAUGUCGAUUUUGGAGGUUGUG